This is a long non-coding RNA of Harpia harpyja (harpy eagle), 296 nucleotides long. RefSeq lists it as uncharacterized. Lineage: Eukaryota; Metazoa; Chordata; Aves; Accipitriformes; Accipitridae. The record is from RefSeq and is a predicted model, not a curated record. The transcript has 2 exons.
GAGCACGGGGAGUGACAGCCGAAGGGAAGUCCCUGGCCGGCCGUGGGAGCAAGGAACCAAGAAACCGUGGAGAGCUUCAGUACAACAUAGGGCGUGACCAACAGUGAAGACCCAAGAGCUACAGAGAAGCUUCUAGCUAUGACAGGAAACUUCUAGGACUGUAGCCUGUGAGCUACAUCUCAUUGCAUACUGUUCCCAUGUGUAAAAGCGAACAAGGUGAGGAAGGGUUGUAGAAAAAAGCCUAUAAUUUUAAAUCUUACUUACAUAUGCCAACAAUAAAUGUACUGUCAUCCCUC